This 622-nucleotide long non-coding RNA is filed under the name Equus caballus (horse). RNAcentral's name for it is "lncRNA (ENSECAG00000059919.1)". Lineage: Eukaryota; Metazoa; Chordata; Mammalia; Perissodactyla; Equidae. The record is from RNAcentral.
GUAGAUGAUCAAGGCAUCCAGUCAAUGCAGGCCGACAAGUAGCCUGAGGACUUGCUUUUAGGUAGGGCUGGUCCCUAGGGUGGGCUGCCUGCCCUGGCUGAACUGGAUUAAAUCUGUGCUUUAGUGGGUGUGACAGACCCCUGGGCUAACAGGCCAAGGGAUAAACCUCAAUGGUGCCCAUCAAGUUCUGUGUCAGCAUGCCUGGACCAGGUCAGAACAAUGGCCCCUACCAAUGUCUCAGUCUCCAGAGAGGUCCCUCCUCUCACCAAGAUGCCCUCAGAGCCCAUCAGGUUGAGAGAAGGGAAUUUCUGGCCUGCAAGAAAGAGGGACAUUUCCCAGGCUGGACCACUUGUGGUGAGACACCCCGUGCCAGUGCUGCCCAGUUGCCUAGUGUCUCUUGGUGGCAGAGGGGGAAGUUCAGGCCAGCAAAGAAGGAACAUGGAUGACAUCACCAAGGGAGAGAAUUUAGACUCAGAAGAGAAGAGAGCAGAGGCCUGAGUCUUGAGGAUUUUUAACAUUUAAAAACCCAGAAGAGGGAUACAGCUGGCAAGGGAGACAGAGAAAGAGCAGGUAAAAAUACAGGAGGAAAUCCAGGAAUUCCUUGUAUCACAGAAGCCAAGAG